AGCGAGCGCUGGCGGCAUGCCUAACACAUGCAAGUCGAACGAGACCUUCGGGUCUAGUGGCGCACGGGUGCGUAACGCGUGGGAACCUGCCCUUAGGUUCGGAAUAACUCCCCGAAAGGGGUGCUAAUACCGGAUAAUGUCUUCGGACCAAAGAUUUAUCGCCUUUGGAUGGGCCCGCGUUGGAUUAGCUAGUUGGUAGGGUAAAAGCCUGCCAAGGCGACGAUCCAUAGCUGGUCUGAGAGGAUGAUCAGCCACACUGGGACUGAGACACGGCCCAGACUCCUACGGGAGGCAGCAGUGGGGAAUAUUGGACAAUGGGCGAAAGCCUGAUCCAGCAAUGCCGCGUGAGUGAUGAAGGCCUUAGGGUUGUAAAGCUCUUUUACCCGGGAUGAUAAUGACAGUACCGGGAGAAUAAGCUCCGGCUAACUCCGU
RNAcentral lists this ribosomal RNA (432 nucleotides) under uncultured bacterium. RNAcentral describes it as "partial 16S ribosomal RNA". It matches the Rfam family "Bacterial small subunit ribosomal RNA", at positions 29 to 506 of the family's 1533-position model. The record is from RNAcentral.